GAUGAACGCUGGCGGCGUGCCUAACACAUGCAAGUCGAGCGAAAACACAGUAAGAUUGUUCUCUUACGGUUAGCGGGUGGCGGGCGAGUAAGAAGUAGAUCACCAUCUACUUAUUCUGGGAUAAUUACGGGAAAAAGCUGACACUAAUAGAUCAUAUAUCCUACGGCAUAGAUCAGUAGAGCUUCACGGCUUUGCCGAUACAAUUAGCUGGUUCCGCGUCGCAUUAGCUAGUUGGUAAGGUAACGGCUUACCAAGGCGACGAUGCGUAGCUGAGCUGAGAGGGUGAUCGGCCACACUGGAACUGAGACACGGUCCAGACUCCUACGGGAGGCAGCAGUAGGGAAUCUUCCGCAAUGGGCGAAAGCCUGACGGAGCAACGCCGCGUGAGUGAAGAAGGUCUUCGGAUCGUAAAGCUCUGUUGUUAGGAAAGAACAGAUGUAGGUUAAACUAUGGACGUCUUGACGGUACCUAAUCAGAAAGCCACGGCUAACUUCGUG
This 497-nucleotide ribosomal RNA is filed under the name uncultured bacterium. Its description in RNAcentral is "partial 16S ribosomal RNA". It matches the Rfam family "Bacterial small subunit ribosomal RNA", at positions 28 to 507 of the family's 1533-position model. The record is from RNAcentral.